GGCGCUAUGGCCAAGAGGUAAGGCAGGGGCUUGCAAAGUCUCGAUCCCCGUGUUCGAGUCCGGGUGGCGCCUCCA
RNAcentral lists this transfer RNA (75 nucleotides) under Clostridia bacterium. Its description in RNAcentral is "tRNA-Cys". It matches the Rfam family "tRNA". Rfam says of the family: Transfer RNA (tRNA) molecules are approximately 80 nucleotides in length. Their secondary structure includes four short double-helical elements and three loops (D, anti-codon, and T loops). Further hydrogen bonds mediate the characteristic L-shaped molecular structure. tRNAs have two regions of fundamental functional importance: the anti-codon, which is responsible for specific mRNA codon recognition, and the 3' end, to which the tRNAs corresponding amino acid is attached (by aminoacyl-tRNA synthetases). tRNAs cope with the degeneracy of the genetic code in two manners: having more than one tRNA (with a specific anti-codon) for a particular amino acid; and 'wobble' base-pairing, i.e. permitting non-standard base-pairing at the 3rd anti-codon position. Lineage: Bacteria; Bacillati; Bacillota; Clostridia. The record is from RNAcentral.